Molecule: ribosomal RNA, 227 nt
Filed under: Klebsiella pneumoniae
Lineage: Bacteria; Pseudomonadati; Pseudomonadota; Gammaproteobacteria; Enterobacterales; Enterobacteriaceae
Description: partial 16S ribosomal RNA
Rfam family: Bacterial small subunit ribosomal RNA
Source: RNAcentral
AAAUUGAAGAGUUUGAUCAUGGCUCAGAUUGAACGCUGGCGGCAGGCCUAACACAUGCUAGUCGAGCGGUAGCACAGAGAGCUUGCUCUCGGGUGACGAGCGGCGGACGGGUGAGUAAUGUCUGGGAAACUGCCUGAUGGAGGGGGAUAACUACUGGAAACGGUAGCUAAUACCGCAUAAUGUCGCAAGACCAAGUGGGGGACCUUCGGGCCUCAUGCCAUCAGAUG